GUUCCUUCGAGCAUCCGAUAAAAUUAGAACGAUAAGAAAAUAUUAGCAUGACCAUUGCGCAAAUAUGACAUAUACAAAUCAAAAAUAGUCUAAUUUUUU
Molecule: non-coding RNA, 99 nt
Organism: Brassica napus (rape)
Lineage: Eukaryota; Viridiplantae; Streptophyta; Magnoliopsida; Brassicales; Brassicaceae
Source: Rfam